UACGUAGGGUGCGAGCGUUGCCCGGAUUUAUUGGGCGUAAAGGGCGCGUAGGCGGUCACGCACGUCCGUUGUGAAAUCGCUCGGCUCAACUGGGCGGGGUCAGCGGAUACGGCGUGGCUGGAGCAAGCUAGGGGGCAAUGGAAUUCCCGGUGUAGUGGUGGAAUGCGUAGAUAUCGGGAGGAACACCAGUGGCGAAGGCGGUUGCCUGGAGCUUUGCUGACGCUGAUGCGCGAAGGCGUGGGGAGCGAACGGG
RNAcentral lists this ribosomal RNA (253 nucleotides) under uncultured bacterium. Its description in RNAcentral is "partial 16S ribosomal RNA". It matches the Rfam family "Bacterial small subunit ribosomal RNA", at positions 524 to 776 of the family's 1533-position model. The record is from RNAcentral.